GAUAUUCAGAUUCAAGGAAUAUAU
Molecule: small nuclear RNA, 24 nt
Filed under: Arabidopsis thaliana (thale cress)
Lineage: Eukaryota; Viridiplantae; Streptophyta; Magnoliopsida; Brassicales; Brassicaceae
Description: snRNA_00013
Source: RNAcentral